Molecule: ribosomal RNA, 539 nt
Filed under: Rhinolophus acuminatus (acuminate horseshoe bat)
Lineage: Eukaryota; Metazoa; Chordata; Mammalia; Chiroptera; Rhinolophidae
Description: partial 16S ribosomal RNA
Rfam family: Bacterial large subunit ribosomal RNA
Source: RNAcentral
GCAUUUUAAGUAUUAAAGGCACUGCCUGCCCAGUGACAUCUGUUCAACGGCCGCGGUAUCCUGACCGUGCAAAGGUAGCAUAAUCACUUGUUCCCUAAAUAGGGACUUGUAUGAAUGGCCACACGAGGGUUUUACUGUCUCUUACUUCCAAUCAGUGAAAUUGACCUUCCCGUGAAGAGGCGGGAAUACUACAACAAGACGAGAAGACCCUAUGGAGCUUCAAUUAACUACUCCAAUAAAGACAAACUACAACCCACCCAGGCCCAACUCCCCUUUAUCUGGACUAGCAAUUUAGGUUGGGGUGACCUCGGAGUAUAAAAAACCCUCCGAGUGAUCAAAAUUUAGACUAACCAGUCAAAACACAAUAUCACUUAUUGAUCCAAAAAUUUGAUCAACGGAACAAGUUACCCUAGGGAUAACAGCGCAAUCCUAUUUAAAAGUCCAUAUCAACAAUAGGGUUUACGACCUCGAUGUUGGAUCAGGACAUCCCAAUGGGGCAACAGCUAUUAAAGGUUCGUUUGUUCAACGAUUAAAGUCCU